CUCAACUUAAACGACUGCCGGAAAGCAACCAUAUCCCUGGGAUUUGGGGCUAGGGGUUAGUGUUGACGUUAAGAGCAAAACGCCUUGUUGAUAGGGUGUCCGUCCCACCACCAGAUCCAACGGAGAUUUCAAGAUCCGCAGCCCCUAACUACGUGGGGCUGAGCUGUAUUGUCCCCAGGCGGCGCUGUGUGCAAAUCGUAUUGAAGGAGAGGAUUUUAGUGCUGAAAUUCUCCGAGACUACUUAAUUUUAAAUAUAUUGAUUUGCCCCGCAGGAGCGAUGGCUCUCGGUGUAACGGAGCUCUUAAGUGAAGAUGCUGAGAGGAAAAGGAAGAGUGCAAAACAUAGGGGAGAAUGUUUGCUGGAAAACGACAUGGUUAAAACCUAA
Molecule: long non-coding RNA, 385 nt
Filed under: Sus scrofa (pig)
Lineage: Eukaryota; Metazoa; Chordata; Mammalia; Artiodactyla; Suidae
Description: lncRNA (ENSSSCG00070024738.1)
Source: RNAcentral